CCAUUAGACGUUCUGGGCCGCACGCGCGCUACACUGACGAAGGCAACGAGCUUUCCUUUACCGAAAGGUACGGGUAAUCUUUUGAAACUUCGUCGUGCUGGGGAUAGAUCCUUGCAAUUUUUGAUCUUAAACGAGGAAUGCCUAGUAAGCGCAAGUCAUCAACUUGCGUUGAUUACGUCCCUGCCCUUUGUACACACCGCCCGUCGCUACUACCGAUUGAAUGGUUUAGUGAGGCCUUCGGAUCCGCGACUCGUUUGUGGAGAAGUUGGACAAACUCAGUCAUUUAGAGGAAGUAAAAGUCGUAACA
RNAcentral lists this ribosomal RNA (307 nucleotides) under uncultured eukaryote. RNAcentral describes it as "partial 18S ribosomal RNA". It matches the Rfam family "Eukaryotic small subunit ribosomal RNA", at positions 1470 to 1796 of the family's 1831-position model. The record is from RNAcentral.